GGCUCAGAUUGAACGCUGGCGGAAUGCUUUACACAUGCAAGUCGAACGGCAGCACGGACUUCGGUCUGGUGGCGAGUGGCGAACGGGUGAGUAAUAUAUCGGAACGUGCCCAGUCGUGGGGGAUAACGUAGUGAAAAUUACGCUAAUACCGCAUACGAUCUAAGGAUGAAAGCGGGGGAUCGCAAGACCUCGCGCGAUUGGAGCGGCCGAUAUCAGAUUAGGUAGUUGGUGAGGUAAAGGCUCACCAAGCCAACGAUCUGUAGCUGGUCUGAGAGGACGACCAGCCACACUGGAACUGAGACACGGUCCAGACUCCUACGGGAGGCAGCAGUGGGGAAUUUUGGACAAUGGGCGCAAGCCUGAUCCAGCAAUGCCGCGUGCAGGAUGAAGGCCUUCGGGUUGUAAACUGCUUUUGUACGGAACGAAAAGGUCUGGGUUAAUACCCUGGGCUCAUGACGGUACCGUAAGAAUAAGCACCGGCUAACUACGUG
Molecule: ribosomal RNA, 491 nt
Filed under: uncultured bacterium
Lineage: Bacteria
Description: bacterial SSU rRNA
Rfam family: Bacterial small subunit ribosomal RNA
Source: RNAcentral